RNAcentral lists this ribosomal RNA (667 nucleotides) under uncultured bacterium. RNAcentral's name for it is "bacterial SSU rRNA". It matches the Rfam family "Bacterial small subunit ribosomal RNA", at positions 111 to 793 of the family's 1533-position model. The record is from RNAcentral.
UAACGCGUGGGUAACCUGCCUUACANUGGGGGAUAACACUUAGAAAUAGGUGCUAAUACCGCAUAAGCGCACGAAGCCGCAUGGAUUUGUGUGAAAAACUCCGGUGGUGUAAGAUGGACCCGCGUCUGAUUAGCUUGUUGGCGGGGUAACGGCCCACCAAGGCGACNAUCAGUAGCCGACCUGAGAGGGUGGACGGCCACAUUGNGACUGAGACACGGCCCAAACUCCUACGGGAGGCANCAGUGGGGGAUAUUGGACAAUGGGGGGAACCCUGAUCCAGCGACGCCGCGUGAGUGAAGAAGUAUUUCGGUAUGUAAAGCUCUGUCAGCANGNAANAAAGAAAUGACGGUACCUGACCAAGAAGCCCCGGCUAACUACGUGCCAGCAGCCGCGGUAAUACGUAGGGGGCAAGCGUUAUCCGGAAUUACUGGGUGUAAAGGGAGCGUAGACGGUUAAGUAAGUCUGGAGUGAAAGGCCGGGGCCCAACCCCGGGACUGCUCUGGAAACUAUUCAACUUGAGUGCAGGAGAGGUAAGCGGAAUUCCUAGUGUAGCGGUGAAAUGCGUAGAUAUUAGGAGGAACACCAGUGGCGAAGGCGGCUUGCUGGACAGUAACUGACGUUGAGGCUCGAAAGCGUGGGGAGCAAACAGGAUUANAUACCCUNGUAG